RNAcentral lists this small nuclear RNA (103 nucleotides) under Canis lupus dingo (dingo). Lineage: Eukaryota; Metazoa; Chordata; Mammalia; Carnivora; Canidae. The record is from RNAcentral.
UCCUGAACUCUCAGAAAGAAACGUUCCUUGACGAUACAGAGAAGAUUAGCAUGGCCCCUGAGCAAGGAUGACACUGCAAAUUCGUGAAGCGUUCCAUAUUAAA